This 66-nucleotide transfer RNA is filed under the name Bos taurus (domestic cattle). It matches the Rfam family "tRNA". From Rfam's summary of the family: Transfer RNA (tRNA) molecules are approximately 80 nucleotides in length. The record is from Rfam by way of RNAcentral. Lineage: Eukaryota; Metazoa; Chordata; Mammalia; Artiodactyla; Bovidae. RNAcentral also lists the same sequence under 2 other names.
CUGGUGGUCCAGUGGUUAGGACUCUGCAUUUUCACUGCCAAAGGCCCAGGUUCAAUCCCUGGUCAG